This 350-nucleotide unclassified non-coding RNA is filed under the name Hevea brasiliensis (rubber tree). The record is from RNAcentral. Lineage: Eukaryota; Viridiplantae; Streptophyta; Magnoliopsida; Malpighiales; Euphorbiaceae.
GCUGCUAGCAGAUGCAUUUCCCUGCAAAUAAAUGCAAAAAUAAUGUUAGAUCAUUUCUUCCCUCCAACAGCCUAGGAGAGAGCAAGAACAAGACAACUAAAAUCUAUUUAGAAAAGGGUGAUAAGUGAGGGAUUGCCAAAUGCAUAUGCUUAUAUAACAGAGACCAAAAUGCAACAAUCAGGGCUAAGCAUGCCAAAUGCUUGAACAGGAAAAUGGUAUACAGAUGAACUAUAUAGUAAAGGCCAAAUGUAUCAUUUCACCCUUGAACUUAAAGGAUAUAUCUCAUUACACCUCUCAACUUUUCGAGGAACCUCUUACACCCCUAAACUUAAAAUAAUAAUAAUAAAAUA